CCUACGGGAGGCUGCAGUGGGGAAUAUUGGACAAUGGGGGGAACCCUGAUCCAGCCAUGCCGCGUGUGUGAAGAAGGCCCUCGGGUUGUAAAGCACUUUCAGUGAGGAAGAACGCCUGGUGGUUAAUACCCAUCAGGAAAGACAUCACUCACAGAAGAAGCACCGGCUAACUCCGUGCCAGCAGCCGCGGUAAUACGGAGGGUGCGAGCGUUAAUCGGAAUUACUGGGCGUAAAGCGCGCGUAGGUGGCUUGAUAAGCCGGUUGUGAAAGCCACGGGCUCAACCUGGGAACGGCAUCCGGAACUGUCAAGCUAGAGUGCAGGAGAGGAAGGUAGAAUUCCCGGUGUAGCGGUGAAAUGCGUAGAGAUCGGGAGGAAUACCAGUGGCGAAGGCGGCCUUCUGGACUGACACUGACACUGAGGUGCGAAAGCGUGGGUAGCAAACAGGAUUAGAUACCCGGGUAGUC
This 465-nucleotide ribosomal RNA is filed under the name Vreelandella stevensii. RNAcentral's name for it is "partial 16S ribosomal RNA". It matches the Rfam family "Bacterial small subunit ribosomal RNA", at positions 338 to 795 of the family's 1533-position model. The record is from RNAcentral. Lineage: Bacteria; Pseudomonadati; Pseudomonadota; Gammaproteobacteria; Oceanospirillales; Halomonadaceae.